This 2304-nucleotide long non-coding RNA is filed under the name Dermacentor andersoni. Its description in RNAcentral is "uncharacterized LOC126531231". Lineage: Eukaryota; Metazoa; Arthropoda; Arachnida; Ixodida; Ixodidae. The record is from RNAcentral.
UUGCAGGGACAACCCAGCACGUGCAUUUCUCAGCACCCAGUCAACUGCCAAAAGUGACUCAAACACAGGCCACCAGUGGAACUCGGCUGUACCACUGCAGUGCUGCGGAAAUUGCCAGCACCAGCGGCUUUGCAACAGCUGUUUCGCAGCACGUCGGAGACAAUGCCUACGAAAUUAUUGGCCCUGAUCAUGAGAGCCCUCAAGGGGCAAACAACAUCUCUGUUGCAGAAGUGAGCUCGAUACCACUUGGAAGUUACCAUGACAGAUGACACGGCAGCAACAGAUACAGAGACUGCCAUGUCUACUGCAGCUGCAACAGUGUACGAGGCAAGCAGCAGCGCGUCAGCAUCAGCAGCAGUGUCAGAAGGAGCCACACCAGGCCUGGUAGAGCAACAUGUGUGCUAUCACUGACUUUUUUUUGUAGUGAUACAACUCAUUUACUCAGCAUACAAAAGCUUUUCACCACGACUGUGAGCCAGUGUUAUUGUGCAGCAAGUGCAAGACUAAGUUAGGUGUUAUAACACAGUACAAGCAUCACUUUAAUAUAUGCAAAUGCAAACAUAUUACAGUUGUUGCCUCCCCAGCCAGCCCACAGUGACAACAAUGUGGAACACAUGGUGGGACACACCUCUCCCCCAUUACAAGAUAGUAGAGACUGUCAGUGUUGUUGCUAGAUUGACUGAUCUUUGUAGGCAACUAGAAGGACAACACAGGUGUCAUAAGAUUGUUGUUGAUGUUGUUGUUGAAGAGGUAAAAAAGAAGUUUGAUGCAGCUGAAGUGCCAACUGAUAUUGAGCAAAUCAAAAGCAACCACCUGAGAAAGCAACACUAUCGAAAUUGGGGUAUCUAUGUGCCGCCAACUCUGGUAAGAUUGGCAUAGGACAGAAGUGUGAUGAAAAUCACACAGACACUGCUGUUGCAUCACUGGCCACAGUGAGCAGCGACUUGUAGGGCAAGAGAGUCAACUGAAACUAACAUUAUGAUAUAGUGUCAUGCUCCCAUGUGACCACUUUUCAAGUUAUUUUGCAAGAUACAGCUCAACCUCCAGAAACGAGACUGCAACUUGUCUGUAAAAAAGCUUUCACAAAAAAUUAUUCAUAGCACUAUUAACAUAGCAGUAUCUUUUUUUUUGUGUCGAUUCGAGGUUCCCGGCAGUCCAUUAAUGCAAAAAUUGAGGAAAAAAAGAACAUGUGUCGUACUUACACCUUUUUAACAAGUACGAGGGGUACAGAACUUUUCUAGUCAUGCAUCUUCAUCAUACUAUCAAGUUUUUAAAUGCCUUUUAUAAUUAUUAUUACCAGUUAUAUCUGAGUGCAUUGUAUGCAUGUAGCAGGUGUAAAAUCAGGUCAGUUGGAUCAGAUGCCUUAUCUGCAAGCGAGCCCUAUAUUCAAGAAAUUUGAAUUAAAAUAGUUACGUUAGAGACGCAGUCUUUCAGCACUUUAUUGCCUGUGGUUUAAGCAUUGCUCAAUACUUUUGUGGGUGGCAAUUUCAACCGGCACAGCACUGCGCUUUGCCACAGUCACAUUUGUCUUCAAAGCGGUGUUUACCAUUUGUGUUGAUCUGUUUGUGUAUGAAUAGAGGAAGUUUUUAAUUUAUAUUUUUCUGCAUUCUUGUGCUUGCACUAAGUUUGUAUAAGGCAGUUACAAAAUGUGCGUCACUAUAAGGAACUGUUCUGUUGAGCUUACACUUGCAAAUAAUCGUGUUCAGAUGGCCGCACUUCUAUGCGGGUGCACCGCUAGCUUUGUGUAUGUUCUCAUGUUUGUAUAAAGCUUAUAUAAGCUAGUUAGAAAAUGUAUGUCCCUAAGCAUUGUGAUAUUCUUUAAAGAACUGCUUAGUUGGUUUUACACUUGUGAAUUAGUAUUGAGGCGGUGGUAUUCCCAUGUAUGCCCACUGCUAGCUUUCUGUGUCCUCACGUGUUUGUAUUAAGUUUCUACAAGGGAGCUACAGCAUGUACGUCACUAAGCGCUGUGAUAUUUUUUAAAGAACUGCUUUGUUGGUUUUACACCUGUGAGUAAUAGUACUCGGGUGGCACUAGUCAUGUGUAGGUACACAGGGACCAUUUGUAUACAUUAUGCUCAUGUAAAGCAGUUACAAAGUGUACGUCACUAAUUACUGUGAUAUUUGUUGAAUUGCUGUGAUGGUUUUACACAUGUGAAUAAUAGUGGUCAGGACACAGUACUUGCGGUGUAUAGUUGAAUUUAUACACUGCCAAGACAUGGGCUGUAUGCAUACCAAAAGAAAUGUAUGUCAUUAUAUUGUUGUGAUUAUUACUGUUUGGAUUUUAUUAAACUGUAAUAAAAUUGUU